GACGAACGCUGGCGGCACGCCUAACACAUGCAAGUCGAGCGAUGAAAUUUUAACCGAUCUCUUCGGAGAGAAGCUAAAAUGGAUUAGCGGCGGACGGGUGAGUAACACGUGAGAAACCUGCCUUUCACAAGGGGAUAGCCUCGGGAAACCGGGAUUAAUACCCUAUGACACAUUUCCUUCGCAUGGAAGAAAUGUUAAAACUCCGGUGGUGAAAGAUGGUCUCGCGCCUGAUUAGCUAGUUGGUGGGGUAACGGCCCACCAAGGCCAUGAUCAGUAACCGGCCAGAGAGGGUGAACGGUCACAUUGGAACUGAGACACGGUCCAAACUCCUACGGGAGGCAGCAGUGGGGAAUAUUGCACAAUGGAGGAAACUCUGAUGCAGCGCCGCCGCGUGAGCGAUGAAGGCUUUCGAGUCGUAAAGCUCUGUCCUAUGGGAAGAUAAUGACGGUACCAUAGGAGGAAGCCCCGGCUAACUACGUG
Molecule: ribosomal RNA, 480 nt
Filed under: uncultured bacterium
Lineage: Bacteria
Description: partial 16S ribosomal RNA
Rfam family: Bacterial small subunit ribosomal RNA
Source: RNAcentral